This 2242-nucleotide long non-coding RNA is filed under the name Bemisia tabaci. RNAcentral's name for it is "lncRNA ENSSSA3NGG004444". Lineage: Eukaryota; Metazoa; Arthropoda; Insecta; Hemiptera; Aleyrodidae. The record is from RNAcentral.
UUUGCAACCACUUGGAUGAACUCAUCAUCUGUAAAUUUUACGAUAUUGAUCAAUUUAAAUUCUGAGCUUGGAGGAUUCAAGAAGAUGUUGGGGCAGCUUCAGUUUGGCCAAGGGACAUGAGCUGCAUAGCGAUUUCAUUCAUUUCAGCAAGACGAACUUCAUUCGCUUUGAGGUCUGUUUGGAAAUCAUCAAAUUUCUUUUGCAUAACCUCAACUUGUUCCAGAUCAACUGUUUCAAUGACAUCUUGAACAGGGGCAUGAUUUUCCUGAAAAAUGAUAACGCAAAAAGAAUAGGGGCAUCAAAGCGACUGAUAAAAAAUAAUCCACAGUUAUGAGCAUGUUACAAUACACUGAUCACUGGUAGGGACCAAAUCCAUCCAAUUUGAACAUAUAUGUGCUUCUCUGCGAUGAAAUAAGGUAGAAGAAGAGGAUAGAUAGGUAGUAGAAAGCACCUGUUUUUUUUUAACAGUAUAUUGAUGUGAAAAUUUGAUUCAGCUAAUUUACCUUCUUCAUCUAGUAAAAGAAUUGUCUCGCUAACCUCAUCUUCGUUUUUUUUUUUUUUUUUUUUUUUUUUUUUUUUUUUGGGUUCAUCCUUCGAGCUUAAUCAUUAAUGUGUUUUUAGGGCUUUUCUCCCCAGUAAGGGAAGGAUAACAACAAGGUCUUGAAAAGUUGCAUUCUAAUUGAACAAUUUUGUACAUGAGCCCGGUGGACUAGAAUUUUAAGUUUCUGGUGAACUGUAUUUUUAUAAUUGCGAACUUAAAAGCGCCAUAUAUUCAGUUUGGAUUGAAAUAGGUGUGCUAUUUUUGUAGCCAAGUGUUCAUUAAACAAAUCUCAACACUCUAACAUCAAUAGCUCAAUUUUGAGCUUUGUGGACCACAGCCCCUUUUCCUAGGGACUGUAAAGUAUAUUCACAUACUUUUUUCAGUGAAUGAGAUUUAAAGAAUGACAAAAUAAUGAUAAAUUAGUAAUCGUAAAGCAGUUUUCUGAAUAAUUAUAAAACCAGACAUUAUCCUACCUUAUCCUUGAUCCAAGCAGCCAAUUCUGCAGCUUCACGAACUAAAACGUAAGCCUUGACGGUUUCAUUAAGCUUGUUCUGACGCUCACGGGCCAAUGCCAGUAAGUGAUCAUAUUCCGUUUCAAUCUGGUUUUGGCGAGCAGAGAUGGAACUGCUGUCUGCAAGGUUCUGUUGGGAAGCAGUCAGUCCAGCCUCGAUUUUCUUAACAUAAGCUGCAGGGAUGAAUCCUUGCCGAUCGUGACUUCGACUUUCCACCAGUCCUGUUGAAGACAAAUAUCAAAAGGUGAAUGCACAGCCAAACUAAAUAGACACAAAUACUGACAGGUAUAUGCGAAGGAUUAUAUUCCUAAGAAUCUUCUAUACUGAUCUAAGGAAAAUUUCAAGAGCUUUAAGUCCAGCACUGUUCCAACUUUACCGAGGGCAGCAGGUGUGAUGCGCCUGAAAAUUAAUAUUUUUGCCAGAAAAUUCUGAAGGCUCCUAAAAUUAGGCCCUGUGACUAAUAAGAUUGAUAAAAUUUUGGGGUAAAGUUGUAACACUUGAAUUAAGAGUGAAAGCUGCAAAUUAAUAAAAACAAGGGUACCUUACUUAGGUUACUUUCACGGAUACUAAACGAAAAAUUAAUUACUCUAGUAACAAUCCGGGAGUAUUCUCACAAGUCGAGAAUGUUGAUACGAGCCCUUCUAUUGUUAAUUCAGUGUCACAAGAAUGGUAUGAUGGCAGCCGAAAGCAUUCAUAUCAAUAUUCUAGGGUAGUCAGAUUUUAACAUCCCAGGAUGUUAAUUCAGCAGAUUUGUUUCCUAUGUAGAUUUCUACUGCAAUUAAAGCACUAACACUACUAACCUUCUUUGUGGAGUUGAGUAAAGUAAGAAUGUCGCCUUUCUUCAUAGAUACUUCACGAGGAGAUUUUUCAGUGUAAUCAUACAGGGCAACCACAUACUCUUUUCCGGCAACAUCAAUUACCGGGGUUUCCUGUUGCUGUAAACCAAAAAAUAGAACUUCAUCAGCAAAACACAUACCUUAACACAAUAAUAUACUCACGAAAAUUUAGGAUUCUAUCUUUGAGGACAUAGCUGAAUACAAACAAAUAAAGGAAAUUCAUAAAAACUGACUUGUGAGGUUAAGAAUACUUGGUGCCUUGGCUAUUGAAUAAUUUAUAUUAAUCGUCACAGACACCUUUGGUGUAAUUCUGUACUUUUGGAAAGAAAAACUAUCAAUUCUUUUCAUUGAAA